RNAcentral lists this ribosomal RNA (492 nucleotides) under uncultured bacterium. RNAcentral's name for it is "partial 16S ribosomal RNA". It matches the Rfam family "Bacterial small subunit ribosomal RNA", at positions 29 to 507 of the family's 1533-position model. The record is from RNAcentral.
AGUGAACGCUGGCGGUAGGCCUAACACAUGCCAGUCGAACGGCAGCACAGUAAGAGCUUGCUCUUACGGGUGGCGAGUGGCGGACGGGUGAGGAAUACAUCGGAAUCUACUUUUUCGUGGGGGAUAACGUAGGGAAACUUACGCUAAUACCGCAUACGACCUACGGGUGAAAGCAGGGGAUCUUCGGACCUUGCGCGAUUGAAUGAGCCGAUGUCGGAUUAGCUAGUUGGCGGGGUAAAGGCCCACCAAGGCGACGAUCCGUAGCUGGUCUGAGAGGAUGAUCAGCCACACUGGAACUGAGACACGGACCCGACUCCUACGGGAGGCAGCAGUGGGGAAUAUUGGACAAUGGGCGCAAGCCUGAUCCAGCCAUACCGCGUGGGUGAAGAAGGCCUUCGGGUUGUAAAGCCCUUUUGUUGGGAAAGAAAAGCAGCAGGUUAAUACCCCGCUGUUCUGACGGUACCCAAAGAAUAAGCACCGGCUAACUUCGUG